UGUUUUGUACUGGUAGAGACGAUGUUGU
RNAcentral lists this small RNA (28 nucleotides) under Bombyx mori (domestic silkworm). Its description in RNAcentral is "piRNA piR-bmo-1331690". The record is from RNAcentral. Lineage: Eukaryota; Metazoa; Arthropoda; Insecta; Lepidoptera; Bombycidae.